This 253-nucleotide ribosomal RNA is filed under the name uncultured bacterium. RNAcentral describes it as "partial 16S ribosomal RNA". It matches the Rfam family "Bacterial small subunit ribosomal RNA", at positions 524 to 776 of the family's 1533-position model. The record is from RNAcentral.
UACGAAGGAUCCAAGCGUUAUCCGGAUUUAUUGGGUUUAAAGGGUGCGUAGGCGGGCUAUUAAGUCAGUGGUGAAAGCCCCAAGCUUAACUUGGGAAUUGCCAUUGAUACUGAUGGUCUUGAGUACACUUGAAGUGGGCGGAAUGUGUCAUGUAGCGGUGAAAUGCUUAGAUAUGACACAGAACACCGAUUGCGAAGGCAGCUCACUAAAUUGUAACUGACGCUGAGGCACGAAAGCGUGGGGAGCGAACAGG